UGAGGAACAUGACUUUCGGCGGGGGAUAGCCGGCCCAACGGCCGGGUAAUACCGCGUACGACCUUUUGGGGACAUCCCUGAUUGGUGAAAGCAGCAAUGCGCCGAAAGAGUGCCUCGCGGCCUAUCAGCUAGUUGGUGGGGUAAUGGCUCACCAAGGCAACGACGGGUAGCUGGUCUGAGAGGAUGGCCAGCCACAUUGGGACUGAGACACGGCCCAGACCUCCUACGGGAGGNAGCG
RNAcentral lists this ribosomal RNA (238 nucleotides) under uncultured bacterium. Its description in RNAcentral is "partial 16S ribosomal RNA". It matches the Rfam family "Bacterial small subunit ribosomal RNA", at positions 118 to 353 of the family's 1533-position model. The record is from RNAcentral.